RNAcentral lists this ribosomal RNA (899 nucleotides) under uncultured archaeon. RNAcentral describes it as "bacterial SSU rRNA". It matches the Rfam family "Archaeal small subunit ribosomal RNA", at positions 21 to 903 of the family's 1478-position model. The record is from RNAcentral.
CCCGACUGCUAUUUGGGUGAGAAUAAGCCAUGCAAGUCGAAUGGAAUACCAAAAUAUUCCAUGGCAAACUGCUCAAUAACACGUGAUCAACUUACCCUAUGGAAAACAAUAACCUCUGGAAACGGAGGAUAAUGGUUUAUAGUUGAAAAGGCUUGGAAAAGUUUUUCAAUAAAAGGGAAUAAUAAAAAUGGUUAUUAUUUUGCCAUAGGAUAGGAUUGCGGUCGAUUAUGGCUGUGGGUGAGGUAAUGGCUCACCAAACCAAUAAUCGAUAGGGGCCGUGAGAGCGGGAGCCCCGAGAUGGGUACUGAGACAACGACCCAGGCCUUACGAGGCGCAGCAGGCGCGAAAACUCCGCAAUACACGAAAGUGUGACGGGGUUACCCAAAGUGCUUAAUAUUUAAGCUGUGGUAAGUGUGUAAUGAACCUUACUAGAAAGGAGAGGGCAAGGCUGGUGCCAGCCGCCGCGGUAAAACCAGCUCUUCAAGUGGUCGGGAUAUUUAUUGGGCUUAAAGUGUCCGUAGCUUGUAUAAUAAGUUCCUGGUAAAAUCUAAUAGCUUAACUAUUAGUAUGCUAGGAAUACUGUUAUACUAGAGGGCGGGAGAGGUUUGAGGUACUUCAGGGGUAGGGGUGAAAUCCUAUAAUCCUUGAAGGACCACCAGUGGCGAAGGCGUCAGACUGGAACGCGCCUGACAGUGAGGGACGAAAGCCAGGGGAGCGAACCGGAUUAGAUACCCGGGUAGUCCUGGCCGUAAACGAUGCACACUAGGUGUUGGUAUGGCUAUGAGCCAUAUCAGUGCCGAAGGGAAACCAUUAAGUGUGCCGCCUGGGAAGUACGGUCGCAAGGCUAAAACUUAAAGGAAUUGGCGGGGGAGCACCACAAGGGGUGAAGCCUGCGGUUC